GCAGCAGGCUUGGCUGAAUGGUUACGCUGUCCGCUUUAUAAGCGGAUGAUCAUGAGUUCGAUUCUCAUCUGCUCCA
Molecule: transfer RNA, 76 nt
Filed under: Culex quinquefasciatus (southern house mosquito)
Lineage: Eukaryota; Metazoa; Arthropoda; Insecta; Diptera; Culicidae
Description: tRNA-Ile
Rfam family: tRNA
About the family: Transfer RNA (tRNA) molecules are approximately 80 nucleotides in length.
Source: RNAcentral